RNAcentral lists this long non-coding RNA (13022 nucleotides) under Musa acuminata (dwarf banana). Its description in RNAcentral is "long non-coding RNA (MACU_LNC001715)". The record is from RNAcentral. Lineage: Eukaryota; Viridiplantae; Streptophyta; Magnoliopsida; Zingiberales; Musaceae.
CACAACCUCAACCUCCUGCUGAUUUCCUCUUUGUGUGCAGCUCAUAGUCUAAGCAGGCUUGUUUCUUUCACUUCCUUUUGAUUCUUGUCCUUGAUUCAUUAGUAUCUUGUGUACUAAUUCUUUGGUUCGUUCCGUGAUGGUGCUUUUGUGAUGGAAAGCAGUGAUGAUUCAGAAUCAAUAGUGGCGGAAACUUGUCUUUUGAUGAUGUAAGAACUGAAGCUUUAAACUGCUGCUUGUGUUUUGAUGGUGUAAGAUCUGAAGCUUUAAACUGCUGCUUUCAUGGCCAUGCCCAACUUAUAUAUCUUUUGUUUAAUUACCUGGUUUUUGUCGGGGUUGGUUUGAAGGGAAGGAGAUGAUGAUACCAAAUGAUGGAUCGCUCGCCGAUCGUAAAUGGCAGAUUGUUUCUUCUGCCUUGACGACCAUCAGAAUGUGCAGUAUCUGAACCUUCCAAGUCUUCAUCCCCUCCUGUUUUCUCUCUCUCUCUCUCUCUCUUGUUUUUUUUUGAUAAAAAUCUUUUUUGUAUUACUUAUAUUUUUAUGUCAAAAUCAAAGUUUGAAAGUCAACGAUCUCUCUUUUUAUUUUUUUAAAAUAUAUUUUGGUAUUUUUGACAACUUUGGAAGUGGAAUUAUUAUUUUGAAGUGGUAAUUUAAUUCAAUCAGGUUUUGAAUGGGGUUUAAUACAUUAUCACUAGACAAAUGGAUUACAUUACUCCCAUCUAUUUUAGGUAAUAAAAAAAAAUUCUGAUCUUAUGAUCCAUUUGGCCAUCCAAUGAUGCUUUCAAUCUUGUAAUCAUUUUAUCUCCUAAUCUUCAAAAUAAUUAAGAUUAUCACCACAAAAAUCGAAAAGAGGAUAAAUGAUAUCUAUUUUUUUUUAAUUGAGAGAGAGAGAGAGAGAGAAAUUAACUUUUUUUUGGUCAUAAAAAGAUAGAUAUUAAACAAAUACUUCCCUCCAAACACACAUGAAAUCUGGUAGAGAGAAAUGAAGGAAUGUCUUCUAAUAAUUAUUAUUCAGAUUUGUGCAGCAUAUAAAAUAAAUCAUUGGAUUUGCCAAGAACUCUUCUUAGACAAAAAGAGUUCAGUGUGUUCCACCCAAAACGAAAAAGAAAAAGGAGAUCAGUGUGUCAUGUGGAUGAGCAACUCUGUCAUCUUUAAUAAUGUUCUGUAGGAUGAACAGCUUGUGACCUUUUAGUGUUUGUUUUGUCCUCUCCAUUUUAUAUAUAUAGAGGAUGAACAGCUUGUGUUGGAGAAUAAAAGUACUAAUGUUCAAUACUCAAUUGCAUGGGUUUGGUUUGCUUUUGUUUCUCAUGCAAUUUUGUCAUCAUUAAGUCACCUCAUUCUAUGCAAUGCGCUUCAUGAAUUCAAAUAUCCAUUACCCUUCUUUUUUUUACCUUAGGAUAAAAUAAAAAAUGAACUCGAAGAUCUAUAAUCAUUGCCUUAAGAUAAAAUGUGAUUGUGAAGUGAUUUGACUAACAUCUUUCAACAAAUCAAAUAAUAAAAUUAAAUUAAAUUAUAAUUAAAAAAUAAAAGAUAAGGGAUUAUUUAGUUUUUUAAUUUACGAUUGAUUAGGAGUUUAGGACUCUAUUUAUAGAGUCUAGAAAUGUCAAAAUAAAAAGCAUUUAUCAAUGGGACAUGUCCUUUCAUUUAUAAUCAUAAAAAAAAAUAAUUAUAUUUUGUGGAUUUGUUGCAAAUUCAUCUAAUUAUAUUAUUAUAUAUUCAACUUAAGUUUUUUUGUUUUUCUUUUGGGAAGGGCGGGAUGCAUGUAAGUAAGAAUGGAUGUUUGGGUCAACGAAGGAAAGGGACUUGCACUUGAGGGAAAUGGUCCAUCAGCUCUUCAAGGAACUCUGACACACUUGAACAUCAUUAUCUAUAAUAUUUGUAUAUAUUUAUUAUUCAGAUCUUUUUUUGAAAUACAGAAUCACUAAUGUAUAUAAUGAAUGUAACUGUAUUACUACUACCUGAUUAACUAUUUUAAUUUUAAUAGACAAAAUUUGGCCUUUUGUCAUUAUUAUCAUAAUAAUAAAAAGUUUUUGUCUUAAAAAAUUACACACAUGGAAUGAAAUGAAUAAUAAGUGGAAAUUCUAAUACUGAGCUAAUUUAAAUAUUUUAGAUUAAUAGUUCAGACUCAUUAAGUUUAUCCUAUCAAUCAGAUCAUGAUAAAUGAUACUAGAAUAAUUAUAACAUUAAAUAGAUUGAGAGACCCAAAUGAAAAAAAAUAUAUAUAUAUAUCAUACUAUUAGCAACAGUAUAAAUGGAAUGAGAUUGAAUUAUAUGAGAGAAAAAAUAUCACCAUAUUUAUCGAGCAGCUUUCUUUCUUUAAACUACAUACUUCACAAUGAUAUGAGACUGCACACGACAAAACGAUAUAGUUGAUGAUUCUCCCAACCAAGUGCAGCUUCUAAAUCUUCAGAUAACAUUACCAAAUGACGAGAGGAGCUCAUAAUUAUAACUUAUGCAAAACUAUCAACAAAUAUCAGAAAGUGUUACAUAGAUCGACAUUUCAUCGGGAAAAGUCCACGUUAUUUAUUUAUUUUAUUAAAUGACACCUCUCAUAUUUAUUUUUAUUUAAAAAUAUUUUUUUAAAGUAAUAGUAAUAAUAAUAAUAAUAAUCAUGAAUCAAACCCAAUUAAAUUUAAAGAUUUUCUUUAGAUAAAUUUUUCGAUCGAACGUAACUUAAAUGUGACAUAGUCGAAUUUUGAGUAUAACUAAAUGAACUUUUAUUAAAUCAAUCUAAAUUUUUAUAGAAUAAAUAGAAUAUGAUAAGAUGGUUAAUAAUAAUAAUAUUUUUAUUUUUUAAUAAUAUAUGAUAAUUAAUUAUUAAAAUUUAAGAUUUUUUUUAGUGUGAUCAAGUAUAACUUUAUCAACUUAUACUAAACUAACCUAAAUUUUCACAUAACUACUAGAACAUAGUUCUAAGAUGAAUAAUAUGUUUUUUUUUAAUUUUUAAAAAAGGUAUAAUAAUUAAUUAUUUUAAAAAAGGAUUUUUUGAAUAUGUUUUGUGAUAAGUGUAACUUAGAUCAAUUUUGAAUGUGGCUAAACCAACUUCCAUUAAACUAAUUCAAACUUCUACUAAACUAUGUAAUUAUGAUUCUAAAAAGAUUAGCAUUUUAUAUUUUUAUUAAAUUUUAUGAUAAUUAAUUAUUAAAAUUAUAGAUUUUGUGCAUUGGUUAUAACUUAGCUUAAUUUCAAGAGUAAUUUGAUCAAUUUCUAUUAAAUCAACUAAAACUUUUAAGUAAUCACUAAGAUAUUAUUUUAAGAUGAUUAAUACUAUUUUUUUAUUUAUUUUAAAAAAUAUUGUGACAUUUUUUAAAUAUAUUUUAUGAUGUAGUAUAACUCAAUUCAACUUUCAAGAAACCAACUUCAAAAUUUUAUAAAAUCACUAAGAUAUAAUUUUAAGAUGAUUAGUAUUUUGUUUAUUUAAAAAAAAAUUAUGAUAAUUAAUUAUAAAAUUAACAUUUUUUGAAUAACAUAUGUCAUUUAAAUAAAAAGCUAAGGCAUUUUCAUACAAGUGAAAUAAAAAGAACACCCUAACUAAUAUCAAAUAUGAGGAGCAUCAUCCAAGCAUUACACAUACGUCUGAAUAGUUUCCUUUCCUUCUUUUCUCACCACCUUUCCAAAACAGUCACAGCUUUCCCCCUUUCCGUAACAGACACACGCACACACGCACACACGCGGCUUUCAUGUUUCUUUUUCCUCCCAGAAACCCUCCUCUUGUCAUUCGCUUCCUUGUUCUUCUUUCCUCCGUAAGCCCCUCAAAAUCUGGUUUCUUUAUCCUCCUCUCGUUUCAUUCUCCAUCAACAUCUGUUUCUCCGCUGCUACAAAUGCUAUCUAUGCCUUCAUUCUUCUCCAUAUCUGCUGGUUAGGGAGCCGGAGCCGGAGCCUUAAACCCUUGAAGUCUCCUCCUUUCUCCUUGUUCUUGUUGUGGUGGAAAUUUGUGCUUUCGCUUCUUUUCUUUUUAGAAUUAGGGUUUUGGGGAUGGGAGGAGGAUGGAAGGUGGAGAAACUGGUGGCUGUGCGGCGCUCGCUGCGGACGAGCCUGGACAGGUCGCGGGCGCUGGGCGCCGCCCUCGCCCGCGCCGGGCCCCGCCUCGACGAGAUCCGGCAGCGGCUUCCCCCGAUGGAGGCCGCCGUCCGCCCGAUCCGCGCCGACCGCGACGCGCUGGCGGACGCAGGCGGGCACAUUGAUCGCUCCGUCGUCCCCGCCGCCGCCGUUCUCAAGGUCUUCGACGCGGUCCAUGGCCUCGAGCGCUCCCUCCUCUCCGACCCCCGCGCCGACCUCCCCGGCUACCUCGCCGUGCUCAAGCACCUCGAGGAGGCCCUGCGCUUCCUCUCCGACAACUGCGGCCUCGCCGUGCAGUGGCUCGACGACAUCGUUGACUACCUCGACGACCAAACCCUCGCUGACCAGCGCUUCAUUAUGGGUCUCAAGUCCUUCCUUGUCUCUCUCAAGUCCUCGCCUUCGCCUCUCGACGGCGGCCUCCUCGCGGCCACCCUUGACAAGCUCGAAUCCGAGUUCCGGCUCCUCCUGGCCGAGCACACCACCCCUCUUCCGAUGCCCCCCGACACAUCCGACGCUUCCACCAUCUCCACCUCCCCAAUCCCGGUCCUCGUCAUCAACAAACUCCGCGCCAUCCUCGAGAGGAUGACUGCAAAUAACCUGCUUGAUCGCUGCGUCUCGAUCUUUGUGGAUGUCCGAGGAUCCAACAUCCGCGCCAGCCUCCGAGCGCUCAACCUCGACUACCUGGAGAUCACGCCCAAUGAGUUCAAUGACGUGCAGAGCAUCGAAGGAUACAUCGAGAAGUGGGGUCGUCACCUUCAGUUUGCCGUCAAGCACCUCUUCGAGACCGAGCUCAAGGUCUGCGUCGAGGUGUUUGAGCAAACCGGACCACCUGAUGUAGCUGUAUCAUGCUUCGCUGAUAUUGCUGCGCGGGCUGGAAUCCUCGGAUUCCUCCGGUUUGGGACGAUUGUCACCGAGACAAGGAAAGAUCCCAUCAAACUUCUCAAGCUUCUUGAUGUCUUUGCAACACUGAACAAAUUAAGAUUGGAUUUCAACCGGCUUUUUCGAGGAAAAGAUUGUGUUGAGAUCCAGAACCAAACUAGGGAUCUUAUUAAGAGAGUGAUCGAUGGGGCUUGUGACAUCUUUUGGGAGCUUUUGCAUCAAGUGGAGCUACAAAGACAGAUGCCACCACCUUCUGAUGGAGCUGUGCCAAGGUUGGUGAGCUUCAUCACUGAAUACUGCAAUAAACUUCUCAGUGAUGAGUAUCGGCCAGUUCUUACUCAAGUUCUGAUCAUACAUCGGAGCUGGAAGCAGGAGAAGUUUCAAGAAGAAAUGCUAACUGAUGCGAUUUUGGAGAUAUUUAAAGCCCUCGAGGCUAACUUUGACAUUUGGUCUAAGAGCUACGGGGACACUUCACUUUCCUUCCUAUUUGCAAUGAACACACAUUGGCAUUUCUACAAGAAUUUGAAGGGGACUAGGCUGGGGGAGCUGUUAGGCGAGGCAAAGUUGAAAGAGCAUGAGCAGUACAAGGAUUAUUAUGCUGCAUCUUUCUUGAGGGAAAGCUGGGGAAAGCUUCCACCUUUAUUGAGCAGGGAAGGGUUGAUAUUGUUCUCUGGGGGUAGGGUCAAGGCUCGGGAUCUUGUGAAGCAGCGUUUGAAAGGUUUCAACGAGUCCUUUAAUGAGAUGUAUCAUAAGCAGUUGAGUUGGGUUAUAUCAGACAAGGACUUGAGGGAGAAGAUGUGUCAAUUGGUAGUGCAGACUAUUGUUCCUAGCUACCGGAGCUAUAUGCAGAACUAUGGGCCUCUGGUCGAGCAAGAUUCAAGUGCAAGCAAAUAUGCAAAGUACACAGCUCAAAGCUUGGAGAAGAUGCUUGGUUCUCUUUUUCAGCAUAAACCCGGGAGAACAAUGAGUCUCAGCAUUGGGCACUCAAAUGGAAAAUUGACUAGUGUGAUGAACAACCUGUCUCGCUCUGCCUCUACCGUGAGUUGAUGAAGCCAUAUCUCUGUUUAAUUUGAAGGAAAAGUCAAUGCUUAUUCUCCACAGGCACAGCAGUCGAAAGUAGAAGUCGAUUUUACAGUAGUCCUUGUUGGUUAAUGGAUAUUUGAUGCAGCAGCAUGUGAUGGUGGCCCGAUGCAACAAAUUUUACAAACUUGUUACAUUGGGUAACUGGGGAUAAGAGGGCCCCUGAAUGUGGAAGCUGAAAUUGAAGCAUGCUAUAGUCAAAUUAAUUUGUGCAUAUAUGUCUUGAGAAAUAGUAGGAUGGUGGUGACCAUGUGAUUAAUUCUUUGGCACAUUUGUAGUAGAAGUUACUUUGCUAUUAUGCUUUAGAGGUUCUUCCACUCUCAGUACGCAUUACAUUUUGCCUAGCAUCUAGUUCUUCAUUUUACGCUUGAGGAUGUAGAAACUAAAUAUACAAUUUGAUUUUUUGAUUUUAUUUGUACAAUUUAUUGAUAAUUGUAUCCUUGUGUCCUUCCUUUUCAUUCUCAACAUUUAUCUUACAAAGAUGCAAUAUGGUGCUGGCUAGUUAGGUGCAUGCUCUAGGAGUGGAACAAUUUGGGCUAUGACCAUUAACAUCAAAUUUCUUCUAAAAUAAUUAUUUUGGCCAAUUCAUAUCAUUAUUUUGAAUUGGUUCUCUUUCUUGGAGGAACCUAUACUUCCAUUUUACCUGCUAAUUUAUACUUUGCAUUUGUGUUCUACCUAAAAUUUCCAUGCUUUGGUUCACUUUGCUUGUCUUGGUACUCAACUUAUAAACUCUAUGAAUUACAAUGCAAAUGAAAAUGGUCUUAAAAGACAUGUUAAGUAGUUUAACAGUGCAGAUUACAACAAGGGCAAACAGUUUAUGAUGCUAGAUCAACAGAGCUAGUGAAUAUAUGUUGGGUCCAUACAAUAGUCGUGCUGAUGAGUUAACCUUCCAUUAAAACACAUGCACAUGUCUUCAAUAUGAAAAAUUUCACCAUUGUGUCUGAAAUAUUAGUCCCUCCUGGUUUAGUUGGUCUGGAUUUGAGAAUCGCUUACAAUGAGACAAGUUAUUUGGUGUUCUCAUGAGCCCAUUGGUAUAGGUGAUAUAUAUCCUGGCCUAAGGUCUUCAUGUUGUGGGAACCAUGUAACAUUCAGUUGCAAGUUUGACCUUAUAAUCAGUAAAGAGUUUGAUAUGGGCCAAUAUAGAGUGAAAUGAAGGUUGAGAUUUAUUUUUGUUCGUUCUCUAGUUCAAUGCAUGGUGAUUUUAAACUUUAUGGACUUCUCCUGUGUGGAGCCCAAACUCAACAGAAAUCUUGGCUCAUACCAUAUUUUUGUAUCAGGGGCCAUAGUUCAAAGAAUAGCUUACUACCUCAGUUUAAAGUAACAGAGGGUGCAAGGCUAGAAGUUGGUUGUGAUGCCUCUUAUGUAAGAAUAUAAGCCAUUUGAAUUAAAAAGAGUGAUAUAUAGUCUUGGAGAUAGACUUUUAGUGUUAAUCAUGCUACAAGAAACUUGAAUGCUAUUACUUUUUAGUAAUACUGGAACUCUAUUUUUGCAGGAAAAUGUGGUAAUGUUUGUUGUGUUUUUCUAAUGUUGUGUUUAGAGAACAUGCUUGAUGUCAUUGAAGUUACAGAUUUUAUGACACUGAUACUUGGAAAAGUCAAAAUUGCAAGCCUUUGAUCCAUUUAUAGCGAUGACUUUAUAACCUGGCCAGAAUCAUUGUAAAUUUUAAUAUAUUUUUCAUUUGAAUAAAGGUAAGUUUAGGGUAUAUUUUGUAGGUGUCUAAGUUGGCAAAUGAUAACAUCUUUCACAAUCCUACAUUAGUUACCAAUGUUGUUGGGGAAGUAAAGAAUUAAACCAACAUAAAUAGUGACAAAUCUUAGGUUUAAAUGGAGAUUUUAAGGAAAAAAGAAAAUUCUUAUCUUUAAUUGAAGAUCUCAUCCUUACAAGGAAGUGUUUCUUUAUUGAAGAACAACAAAAGAGGAAGCUUAUCGACCAAGUAUUUAUCACAAGAAAGAUUUUGUCAAAAUAAUUAUGGAAAAACAUCUUCCCUGAUGAAAUAAUUGAUAUGUUUUGAUUUAUGAGAUGUAAUUUUCUUUAUUGGAUUCUUCAUUAAUUUGUGUUUUCUUUUCUUUUUGUGAUUUGGGACCUGUAUAAAGGGGAAAGAGAUUGUAAGUGAAGAUCACAGAAUGAUUAAAUGGAUUGAAGUUUCUUUCCAACAUUAUGUGUGACUGAUGUAAGGCCAUUUUAUAGCCAACCUAUGAGAUGGAUGGAUGUGUGAGACUUUUGUCCCUAAAAGGUUCCUACUUGAGAGAGAGUGAGAGCUAAUAGUUAUCUUUUUUAUACUUAUUAUAACUUUAUAUUAUUAUCUUAAUGUUCCUCUUUUUUUUUCUUGUUUUAUUCUCAAAUAAAGAAAAAUACACUUUUCGUACUCGUCCUACACCAAAACUAUAAUUUGCAAGAUUAGAAUCAGUAUUGGAUAGGGACAACUAUCUAGAUCAGUAGGAUUGGAUCAAUAGGACCAGAGUUGAAUGAGGAAAAAGUUAAACAAGUAUCAUAUAAAAUUAACAAACAUAAACAAAUAAAAAAUUAUGAACUCAAAAUAUUAUAUGCUAAAAUUUCUUUUGUGUUAACAGGAUUGAUUUGAAAUUGUGUAAGACUGAUGUUGAAGGGAAAGGCGAUACUUUUCCAUCCAUGCUUUGCCAUUUGGUGCAAUUUACACUAAAAUUUUAAUUUGUAUUACAUUAUUUUGUCUCAUUAUUAAAUAAGAAUGCCUGGGAGGGAUGAAUUUUAGCUAAUUGAUCAUGAUAAAUGCAUAGUAUUGCAUGUGCAACAAGUUAGCAUAGGUUUUUGGUACCAUUAAGCAAUCUGAGAUUUUCUGGAGAAUCUGAAAGAGAAAAAAGGAGAAAUAAGCUUCAAAACAUUGCCAACCUUUGUAAACUCUGAUGAUUCAGCGACUUACGUUUCCAAGGCUUAGAUGUAUAGGUUUCUUGGUCGUAUCUUGUCCUUUUUUCAUUAGAGAAAACUUGUGUCAUAUUGAUCAUUACAAGGAUAAAAUAGACUGAUUCUGAAGAAGUUCUGAACGUAUAAGAACCAUACAGCUUUGUAGGUAAACUACUUCAUGUGUCAAGUUUCAUGCUCUUAUUUGACUUGGUGAUGAGCUUUCAAUAACGUUGAGAUGCUGAUAUAAUAGUCUAUGCGUGAGUGAGUAUUGUUGAUUAACAUUGGUACUCUGUUCUUGGAAAUCCAAUUCAUGAAAGUUGAGGUACUGUUUCAUGUUGCAUUUCUAGCUUGCUUUAAUAUAAACCAUGUUAUCCAGAGAUGCAACAAGCCUUCAUGAACCUGCUAAUAUAAACGCUGUUGAUUUGUCUUCUACAGUGUUAUCUCCUUAAAUUAUCAUAUAUGUGAGUCUAAACUUGUCAUUUCAGAAUUAGACAACUAUAAUUAAGAAUUGUGGCAUGCUUUAUGAAUGGCAAUCAAAAUUUCCUUUGUUGAGAGUGGUUAUAGGUGAAUUAUUCGUGUCAUGAGAUGUUGAUUAUUUACUUCAUCUGAAAGGCAAUAUAUUUUUUUUCCACUUGGCUAUCUUGUACAUUAACUUUCUCGUCUUUCUACUUCUUCUUCUUAUUUAUUUCAGGCUGUCAAAUUUAUUAGUUUUAGUACAAGAAAAUGAUGUGGAUAAAUAAUAAUUGUUUGGUGAGUUCUCAAAACUUGCACAAGUGGAACUUGAUGCGUAUCUUUAUUUGGCUCUUUCGGUUGUUUGGUGAGUCCUCAGAACUUGCACAAGUGGAACUUGAUGCGUAUCUUUAUUUGGCUCUUUCUGUAAACUGAUGAUGCCAAAACAAUUGCUUUGUGGAGUAUUUUCUUCUUCUUUUGUAAAGGAAAAUAGUGACUCCCUAACAACUCUUUUCCUAUGAAGAUGAUCUGCCUUUCUAACACAUACUUCAUGAUGUUGAUUUUCUGGCAUUUAACUGUGUAUGAAUUGUCUUGCAGCUUGAGAAGUUGUUUGCUCCCUAAGCUUAUGGUUCGAAAUUGAGGAUCUUAAUUAGCUUUCUUUGAUAUUGCUUUUAUCAAUUGAUUAAGGUACGAGGCAUGUGAUGCUUGAAAUAAUUUUAGUUCUUCCUGUCUAUGAUUUCUUCUCCUUUGAUCAUUACUCAUUCCAAAAAUAACAUUAGUGUUGAAGAAAUUUUCACCUCCUCCUUGGCUGCAGUAACUUUCUCUAGUCUGUCUACUUCAUCUUCUCUUUUUGUUUCAGGCUGUCAUUCUUACUGUUUGGUGAGUGUCAAAAUUUUCACAAGUCUAACUUAUGCAUAUCUUAAUUCGGUUUGUUUUGUAAACUGAUGAUGCUAGAACAAUUACUUUGUGGAGUGCCUUUGUAAAGGAAAACAGUGACUCCCUUGCAACUUUGUUCCUUUCAAGAUGAUCCACCUUACCAACACAUAUUUCAUGAUGUUGAUUUGCUGACAUCUGUCUAUGAAUUGCCUUGCAGCUUGACAAGUUGUUUGCUCCCUAAGCUUAUGGUUUGAAAAUGGGGAUCUCAAUUAUCAUGGAGGACUUUCUUUGAUAUUGCUUUUAUCAACUGAUAUGGUUCUACUUGGCAAUGAUUUCUUCUCCUUUGAUCAUUCUGCAUUCCAACAACAACACAGGUGUUGAAGAAAUUUUCAGGUGCUUGCUGGCCAACCUCUUGUGCUUGUUUCAGAUUGGUUUUACCCUGUAAAUUUUACUUGUUUGAAUGUUUUCGUGUUUUUCUUCUACUACUUCUGGACCUCACAUGUCUCCCACCUAACCAGGACAGCUUGCAAGCUCAUCCACUGGUCUUUGCCUCUUGGCACUGACUCAUCUUUGUUGGUGCAGCUGCCUCCAUGGCCCUGUGGCAGUCCUUCCUCCACUGUCAUCUCGCCAUCAUGUGCCCAUUAGUCUUCCUGGCGACAGGGACUGCUUCCACCUCCCCGGGCUGCCGCUGCGAGGGAAACCAAUCAAAACCUCCAUGGACGGUUCUGAUCAAUGACUCCAGGGCUACACUCUUACCUCCAUCGUCGUAUCUAUCGGCUUAACCUUUUAGAUUAAUCGAGCUGACAUCUUGCCUGUGUUCUCAUCUCUCAGAAACAUUCCAGUGUCCUUCAUCUUUGUUAGGAGUCGAUGCAGUGCAGGCGAGCAAUUGAAAUCUUUCCUCAGAACUCCCUCGGUUCCAGGUAAGUAGUAUUGCUUUACCUGGGAUUCCAGAGUAGUAGUUAAUGGAGAAACUAAUACUCCCUGUAAUGGAUUUCUUGCGUUGCACUUAAUCUCUCAUGUACUUUUUGCCGCAUCUUUAAGGGUACAAGCACAUAUGGUUGAUAAGAAAGGGACAUCCAUGGAGCCCUUGGCCAACGACUUGGUUCAGGAGUCGGAACACGAAUCCUGCACGUGGCAGGACGGGAGGUGGCUCUCGCGCUCUCUCUCUUUCUGAUACGUGCACGAUUCUUACAGUAGGAUGUCAUCCACGAGUCGUGUAUACGUGAAGUGUAGAUGCUUACGGGCUAAUGACACGAUAAUAACUCGUGUAGUUAGAUUUUUUUAAUAUCUUAGUUCAUAGGCUUAAAAAGUUUAUAUUAUAAUUUUUAUAAUUAUAAAAGUAUAACAUUUAGUUUUAUUUAUUAUAGGUUUUAUCGAUGAAAAUAUGAAAACGAUCGAUAAAAUGAUAAUUUUAAUGUUUCAGUUAUGUUAUCGAUGAUGACAAAUGAUGGUAUCAUUAGGGUCAUGGGUGGUUGGUGAGAGUAAGGAAGGAGAACUACACCGAGAGAUGAGGAGACGAUACAGAUGUCAAUGUUUUCUAUUUACGUUGACGUCGAUACAGAUGCAGAGUAUUCUACAUUUGUGUCGGUAUCGAUGUUCUACGUACUGAUGUAAAGUGUCGGUGUUUACGUCAUCACUUCACCUCUUAUCAUCAUUCUCCCUCCUCAUCCAUAAUAAUUAUCUAUGAUCGUUAGCGGCGUUAUCAUUUAUCAUCAUCAAAAAUAUAAUUAAAAUAUUAAAAUUAUUUUUUUACUUAUCGUUUUUAUAUUUUUAUUGAUAAAAAUAAAAAUAAUAAAAUCAAAUACUUUAUUUUUAUAAUUAUAAAACAAAUUUAAGUUUAGAAAUUACCAAGCUAAAGAUGUCUGAAUACGGGCUAAUAUGUAAUUAGGCCGCUCACGUACGAGAGAGAGAGAGAGAGAGGGCGAGGACUUGGUAUUCGUGUGGGCGAGUCAGGUUGUUGUGUUGCGGUCUUUAAGCUGCGUCGGUGUCUCGAAUNNNNNNNNNNNNNNNNNNNNNNNNNNNNNNNNNNNNNNNNNNNNNNNNNNNNNNNNNNNNNNNNNNNNNNNNNNNNNNNNNNNNNNNNNNNNNNNNNNNNNNNNNNNNNNNNNNNNNNNNNNNNNNNNNNNNNNNNNNNNNNNNNNNNNNNNNNNNNNNNNNNNNNNNNNNNNNNNNNNNNNNNNNNNNNNNNNNNNNNNNNNNNNNNNNNNNNNNNNNNNNNNNNNNNNNNNNNNNNNNNNNNNNNNNNNNNNNNNNNNNNNNNNNNNNNNNNNNNNNNNNNNNNNNNNNNNNNNNNNNNNNNNNNNNNNNNNNNNNNNNNNNNNNNNNNNNNNNNNNNNNNNNNNNNNNNNNNNNNNNNNNNNNNNNNNNNNNNNNNNNNNNNNNNNNNNNNNNNNNNNNNNNNNNNNNNNNNNNNNNNNNNNNNNNNNNNNNNNNNNNNNNNNNNNNNNNNNNNNNNNNNNNNNNNNNNNNNNNNNNNNNNNNNNNNNNNNNNNNNNNNNNNNNNNNNNNNNNNNNNNNNNNNNNNNNNNNNNNNNNNNNNNNNNNNNNNNNNNNNNNNNNNNNNNNNNNNNNNNNNNNNNNNNNNNNNNNNNNNNNNNNNNNNNNNNNNNNNNNNNNNNNNNNNNNNNNAGUUAAGGUACCGGCCGUCUACGUACGUAGAGAGAGAGAGAGAGAGGGCGAGGACUUGGUAUUCGUGUGGGCGAGUCAGGUUGUUGUGUUGCGGUCUUUAAGCUGCGUCGGUGUCUCGAAUGUAGACACGUUUUGGAGCUCGAUGGGAACGUGUCAAACCUUCCUCACUCUCUCUCC